Molecule: non-coding RNA, 61 nt
Organism: Dipodomys ordii (Ord's kangaroo rat)
Lineage: Eukaryota; Metazoa; Chordata; Mammalia; Rodentia; Heteromyidae
Source: Rfam
GCGGCUCAGUGGUAGAGCGCUUGCCUCGCAUGCAUGAAGCCUAGGGUUCGAGUCCUCAGCA